ACGGGUGAGUAACACGUGGGUAACCUACCUAUAAGACUGGAAUAACUCCGGGAAACCGGGGCUAAUGCCGGAUAACAUGUUGAACCGCAUGGUUCUACAGUGAAAGACGGUUUUGCUGUCACUUAUAGAUGGACCCGCGCCGUAUUAGCUAGUUGGUGGGGUAACGGCCUACCAAGGCGACGAUACGUAGCCGACCUGAGAGGGUGAUCGGCCACACUGGAACUGAGACACGGUCCAGACUCCUACGGGAGGCAGCAGUAGGGAAUCUUCCGCAAUGGGCGAAAGCCUGACGGAGCAACGCCGCGUGAGUGAUGAAGGUCUUCGGAUCGUAAAGCUCUGUUGUUAGGGAAGAACAAAUGCGUAAGUAACUGUGCGCAUCUUGACGGUACCUAACCAGAAAGCCACGGCUAACUACGUGCCAGCAGCCGCGGUAAUACGUAGGUGGCAAGCGUUAUCCGGAAUUAUUGGGCGUAAAGCGUCUGUAGGUGGCUUUUUAAGUCCGCCGUCAAAUCCCAGGGCUCAACUCUGGACAGGCGGUGGAAACUACCAAGCUGGAGUAC
This 560-nucleotide ribosomal RNA is filed under the name Staphylococcus pseudintermedius. RNAcentral's name for it is "bacterial SSU rRNA". It matches the Rfam family "Bacterial small subunit ribosomal RNA", at positions 102 to 649 of the family's 1533-position model. Lineage: Bacteria; Bacillati; Bacillota; Bacilli; Caryophanales; Staphylococcaceae. The record is from RNAcentral.